GACGAACGCUGGCGGCGUGCUUAACACAUGCAAGUCGAACGAUGAAAGAGGAGCUUGCUCCUCUGGAUUAGUGGCGAACGGGUGAGUAACACGUGAGCAAUCUGCCCCUGACUCCGGAAUAACUACGGGAAACUGUAGCUAAUACCGGAUAUGCGCCGAACAGGCAUCUGUAUCGGUGGGAAAGAAUUUCGGUCAGGGAUGAGCUCGCGGCCUAUCAGCUUGUUGGUGAGGUAACGGCUCACCAAGGCGACGACGGGUAGCCGGCCUGAGGGGGUGACCGGCCAAGAUGGGAAGGGGACAAGGCCAAAGCCACAAGGGGGGGAAGGAGGGGGGAAAAUUGCAAAAGGGGGGAAAGCGUGAUGAAGCAACGCCGGGGGGGGAAUGAGGGCCUUGGGGGUGAAAACCUCUUUGGGAGGGAAAAAAGGAAAAGGAGGGGAACCGGCAAAAAAAGGCCGGGCAAAAAACGU
RNAcentral lists this ribosomal RNA (467 nucleotides) under uncultured bacterium. RNAcentral's name for it is "partial 16S ribosomal RNA". It matches the Rfam family "Bacterial small subunit ribosomal RNA", at positions 28 to 506 of the family's 1533-position model. The record is from RNAcentral.